This 253-nucleotide ribosomal RNA is filed under the name uncultured bacterium. RNAcentral's name for it is "partial 16S ribosomal RNA". It matches the Rfam family "Bacterial small subunit ribosomal RNA", at positions 524 to 776 of the family's 1533-position model. The record is from RNAcentral.
UACGGAGGAGGCAAGCGUUAUCCGGAAUUAUUGGGCGUAAAGCGUCCGCAGGUGGCGAUUCAAGUCUGCGGUCAAAGACUGGGGCUUAACCCUGGAAAGGCCGUGGAAACUGAAUAGCUAGAGUGCAGUAGGGGUAGAGGGAAUUCCCGGUGUAGCGGUGAAAUGCGUAGAGCUCGGGAAGAACAUCGGUGGCGAAAGCGCUCUGCUGGACUGCAACUGACGCUGAGGCACGAAAGCCAGGGGAGCGAACGGG